GCUAGGGAGCCGACAGAAGAGAGUGAGCAUAUAUAGUUCUUUCCUUGCAUAUGUGGUCAUAUGUGUGUUGACUGAAGAGAUACAUAUAUUUAGAGAGAGAAGAGUUCAUGUGCUUGAAGCUAUAUGUGCUCACUUCUCUUUCUGUCAGCAAAUUAUC
This 157-nucleotide microRNA precursor is filed under the name Oryza sativa Japonica Group (Japanese rice). RNAcentral's name for it is "osa-MIR156l". The record is from RNAcentral. Lineage: Eukaryota; Viridiplantae; Streptophyta; Magnoliopsida; Poales; Poaceae.